UGUGAAUCACUUGGUUUGAGUGAAGGAAAUCCAGCGCUUGCAGGCACUCCCUACAGACAGCUGCUAUCUGUCCUUCAUCCAUACAUGUCUCUGUAACAACAUCAGUUAGAGAGCCUCCAGCCAAGUAUUCCAUAACCACCCAGAGCUCAUCACCUACUAGGUAGCUGUCUAAAUAGUUAACAAUAUUGGGGUUCUUAUUUUCCCUCAUGACCAGGAUUUCAUUAAUAAUUAGUUCCUUUUUGGGCUGUUGUUGGAGAUUCAUUUGCUUUAUGGCCACCUCUUGUCCUGUGGCGAUGUCUAUUGCUGUAUAAACAGUUCCUGAUGCCCCUUGGCCAAUUUUUUCAAAUCGAGUGUAUUUCUUCUUAGGGUCUCCCACACUCACAAUGCUCCUCAGUUUCUCUAGGAUCUCCUCAUCUGUCAUCUUGGAUUUCUUCCGCUGCCGGUCUGUGUUUCUGUACAAAGUGUUUGUGUUGGAGUUUUCAGGCUGGGGAGUGGUGGCUUCUUUAGCCGGUGCUGGUGCAGCGACAGGUUCGAUUACGGAGCGCGUGUAGAUUGAUUUUGUGUGUUCAGGCCGUGGGGCAAUAACAGGCGGAGGCUCAUUGUCAUCUUCUUCUUCCUCAUCUUCUUCAUCCUCUUCUUCAGAAACUGAUGGUGCUAACGGGGGUUCCGACGCUGUUUUUGUGCUCGAAGGAUGGGCUUCUAUGUAUCCAUGGGCGCUUUUAUCUCCUGACGUAAAGCUCAUGUAUUUCUGGUUGUUAACUGUUUCUUUGGAAUCAUAAAAUUUGAGGACAUCUAGAACUGCUUGAGGAUUCUUCUUCUGCUCUAGUUUUGUUAUGUUGGAGGUCUGUAGUAGCCUGGCCCACUGCUCUGGAAUGCCUGUGAAUUCUCCAGUGACGGCAUCAAACCCCACAUGAAUCGUGUGCUCAAAGUCUGAAGGAAGAGAGAUCUCAGGGCGUUCUUUCUCCUUCUUCUUAUUGGUUUUAUCCCCUCCUCCCGGGAAGAUGGAGCGCAGCCUGGCUUUCUUGUUCUUCUCCUCAGGGGCCAUGGGGAGUGGUUUGGAGCUGUGGUUCAGUGCUGAAGAAUCACGGUUGUUGCUGUUCAUUCUCAACGGCGGGGCUGGAGGUUUCUCUUCAACAUCCAGGCUAUCGGACAUCUUCAGCAGCCCUCACAGCCUCCUGCGCCCGGCGCUGUCAUGCUGCUCCGCCGUCCCCCGCCGCGGCCCCGCGCCGCCGCCGCC
This 1237-nucleotide long non-coding RNA is filed under the name Gallus gallus (chicken). Lineage: Eukaryota; Metazoa; Chordata; Aves; Galliformes; Phasianidae. The record is from RNAcentral.